GACGAACGCUGGCGGCGUGCUUAACACAUGCAAGUCGAGCGGUAAGGCCUCUUCGGUGUUACACGAGCGGCGAACGGGUGCGUAACACUUGCGUGACGUGCCCCCAGCUCUGGGAUAAGCCUGGGAAACUGGGUCUAAUACCAGAAACGAACUUUCACCUCAAGGGGUUUGGUGGACAGUGUUUUCGGCUGGUGAUGGGCCCACGGCCGCUCAGCCGGUUUGUGGGGUGAUGGCCUACGAAGGCGACGACGGGUGGCCUGGCUGCGAGGGCGACCGGCCACCCCGUGAGUGAGCCACGGCCCGGAAUCCUACGGGAGGCAGCAGUGGCGAAUCUUGCGCAAUCGGCGGAAGCCUGACGCAGCGCCGCUGCGUGAGGGAUGACGGCCUUGGAGUUGUAAACCUCUUUCGACCCCGACGAAUUUGGACGGUAGCGGUACAGGAAGCACCGGCCAACUACGUG
This 460-nucleotide ribosomal RNA is filed under the name uncultured bacterium. RNAcentral's name for it is "partial 16S ribosomal RNA". It matches the Rfam family "Bacterial small subunit ribosomal RNA", at positions 28 to 507 of the family's 1533-position model. The record is from RNAcentral.